This is a long non-coding RNA of Papilio polytes (common Mormon), 345 nucleotides long. RefSeq lists it as uncharacterized. The transcript has 3 exons. The record is from RefSeq and is a predicted model, not a curated record. Lineage: Eukaryota; Metazoa; Arthropoda; Insecta; Lepidoptera; Papilionidae.
UGUAUCACGUUUUUUUUAUUAGUUAAUUCAAAUGUUAGGUUAUUUCAUUUAUUAUAGUUAGUUGACAAAUACACGGAGUCACGAAUAUUAUUUGGGAGAAACCUUAAAAGAUGCUCAAUUGACUUUUAAGGAAAUCCUGCGCAAUUUGACAUCAUCGGCCGCCAGCGCCCCCUUAAGGAGCCCAUUUGCAACUCGUAAAUGGCUCUCCUUAAUUAAUAUGCCGUCCAAUACAAUGUCCAACAAAACGAAAACCAUUUAAAAGGACUCGUAACUAGCAAGAAGGGGUCCGUGAGCAAGUUCUUCCAGAAGAUAACGUCCGGAGGAACAGCAUAUGCGUCAUGGUCC